CCUCUUUCACAACAGAUACAUCAACACCAAUGUUGUCGGCCUUCACUUUUUUGUCUACUUUCUUGUCACCAUCCUUCCCAUUAAAAAAGUGAAAACCGCCCAAAUCAAGCCGAUCCUUCUCCUCGGCCGUGGGAAUCAAACUGUUUAUCCUCAGCUGAAAAAUAAUAAGUAUACUUUAGUAUAUCAUCUAACAAACAAUGUACAAUUACAUUGAAAUAAACAGUAAAUAAGGAAUCAUAAAACAUAAUCAGUAACCAAAUACAUAUAUACAGGUAACCAAAUGUAUAAUAAGUAGUAACCAACUAAAUGUAUAAAUGUAACCAAAUGUGUAUAUUCGGGUAACCAACAACAAUGUCAUUAGUAACCUGAAUGUAAUCUAAUCAGUAACCGUAUUUGAAUAUUCAAGUAACCAAAAACAUUGUCAUUAUUAACAUGCAUAUAAAAUAAUUUGUAACCAAACAUGUAUAUAAAGGUAACUAACUACUUUGUUGAUAGUAAACUUCACAUAAUAUUAAUAUUAAUACUAAUUACUUAUUUUGUUUUUUUGUACACAGUUUCAAAUGACACAUUACAAUUACAUUUCGAAUAACACGUUACACAGUUGGGAUCCUUUUUUCUAUAUUUUCACAUAUCAAUCCUAAGUUACAACUUAGACCAUUACUCAUGGUUAUUAAAGAUUUUGCAAGUAGUGAAAUAAAGCAGCCAGCAGCAGGCAUCCAGUUUGUUUGACUGUGACGUUGAGCUUGAGGAGUAUUUGAUGAAAAGCUAAGCCUCCUUACUUGGAGCUAGCACCAAAGGAGCAAAAGGCACCAGUGAUUUUUGGGCUACAAAAGGUACCAAAGCUAAGGGAAAUAAUUGAAUCUGAAUUUUGUGAGACUGGAUCCAUUGAGAUAGUGGAGGGAUUGAGAGCGCUCAAGCUAUGGCUAAAGAAAAAGCUGAUCUAGCUAUCCAAACUCUAGAAUGCCUUCCUUUCCACUGGCUCUCGAGGGAAUGCUGAAUUAUAAUCUUGAGAGAAUUGACUAGACAAAAAAUAAGCUGCUUAUGAUUGGUUUUAGAUUCAUAAAGAAUUAUGCCUCCUAAUAUCUGUUUAUUAAAUUAAGGAAUUAAACCUCCAAUAUUUAUUGUUUGUUAAUAUCACUUCCACAUAACCACGAAAUAUAUUGGUGGGCCUGAAUUCUAAUCUGGAUACAAGCAAAUUAUGAAUAAAUAAACGAAGGGAAGGCCCACUCCAUUUAUUUAGUUUUAGAGUGAAGAGAGGGGUAAAACAGACAUCCGCACUAUCACUCUCAGUCUACCUAUAAAUUGAGAUGAAGCAUGCUAGGGUUUACUGAAAUUGCCUUUGAGAGAUCCGACCGCGCCUGUAUAUAGUAGCGGCUCGCGUUCCGUUGCGGGCAUACAAUAACGUUAUAGUCCUAUCUUCAUCUCUGCAUCUGUAUUUCUUUUCAAAUCUCUUGCAAAGACAGGCAGGCCUAACAUAUAUAUACAGUUAUAUUGAUUUAUAUAUAUACAGUUGUAUUGAUUUUGAGGGAGGGACAGGGCCGAUCCAAUGGGUUCUCGCUUGCAAAAUAAUGUUUUAAUGUGUGAGAGCUCAAUUUCACCCGGCCUAUAUUUUGGGGCAGCUUCCUUCUCCUCCUCUUCUUUUACAUGCUUUCUCUUUAGUGUCUAGAUUUGGAGAAUAUGCCCAACAUUCAUUUUUUUUUCUUUAAUAUUUUACGUGUAUACACUUGAAUGUCGUUGUAGUUGUAAAUAUUAUAUCUUUCUUCUCUUUGGAUAAUCACGAA
Molecule: long non-coding RNA, 1781 nt
Filed under: Panax ginseng (ginseng)
Lineage: Eukaryota; Viridiplantae; Streptophyta; Magnoliopsida; Apiales; Araliaceae
Description: long non-coding RNA (PGIN_LNC015753)
Source: RNAcentral